UUACUUUUGCAGGACAUACACUAAAAUUGGGACAAUACAGAGAAGAUUAGCAUAGUCUCUGCUCAAGGAUGAUACACAACUUAUGAAGCCCUUUAUAUUAAA
RNAcentral lists this small nuclear RNA (102 nucleotides) under Carlito syrichta (Philippine tarsier). Lineage: Eukaryota; Metazoa; Chordata; Mammalia; Primates; Tarsiidae. The record is from RNAcentral.